Molecule: ribosomal RNA, 253 nt
Filed under: uncultured bacterium
Lineage: Bacteria
Description: partial 16S ribosomal RNA
Rfam family: Bacterial small subunit ribosomal RNA
Source: RNAcentral
UACAGAGGGUGCAAGCGUUAAUCGGAAUUACUGGGCGUAAAGCGUGCGUAGGCGGAUAUUUAAGUCGAUUGUGAAAUCCCCGGGCUCAACCUGGGAACUGCAUUCGAUACUGGAUGUCUAGAGUAUGGUAGAGGAAAGUGGAAUUCCCGGUGUAGCGGUGAAAUGCGUAGAGAUGCGGAGGAACACCGAUGGCGAAGGCAGCCCCCUGGGCUGACACUGACGCUCAGGCACGAAAGCGUGGGGAGCAAACAGG